AGAGUUUGAUCCUGGCUCAGAACGUACGCUGGCGGCACGCCUAACACAUGCAAGUCGAACGCAGUAGCAAUACUGAGUGGCAAACGGGUGAGUAUAAUGUGGGAAUCUGCCUUUUGGUUCGGAAUAACACGGGGAAACUUGUGCUAAUACCGAAUAAGCCCUUACGGGGAAAGUUUUAAUGCCGAAAGAUGAGCCCGCACUUGAUUAGCUAGUUGGUAAGGUAAAAGCUUACCAAGGCAAUGAUCAAUAGCUGUUCUUAGAGGAAGACCAGCCACAUUGGGACUGAGACACGGCCCAGACUCCUACGGGAGGCAGCAGUGGGGAAUCUUGCACAAUGGGGGAAACCCUGAUGCAGCGAUGCCGCGUGAGUGAAGAAGGCCUUUGGGUUGUAAAACUCUUUCGUCGGGGAAGAAAAUGACUGUACCCGAAUAAGAAGGUCCGGCUAACUUCGUGCCAGCAGCCGCGGUAAUACGAAGGGACCUAGCGUAGUUCGGAAUUACUGGGCUUAAAGAGCUCGUAGGUGGUUAAAAAAGUUGAUGGUGAAAUCCCAAGGCUCAACCUUGGAACUGCCGUCAAAACUUUUUAGCUAGAGUGUGAUAGAGGUAAGUGGAAUUUCUAGUGUAGAGGUGAAAUUCGUAGAUAUUAGAAAGAACACCAAAUGCGAAGGCAACUUACUGGGUCACUACUGACACUGAGGAGCGAAAGCAUGGGUAGCGAAGAGGAUUAGAUACCCUCGUAGUCCAUGCCGUAAACGAUGUGUGCUAGACGUUGGAAAUAUAUUUUUCAGUGUCGCAGCGAAAGCAUUAAGCACACCGCCUGGGGAGUACGACCGCAAGGUUAAAACUCAAAUGAAUUGACGGGGACCCGCACAAGCAGUGGAGCAUGUGGUUUAAUUCGAAGAUACGCGCAGAACCUUACCAACACUUGACAUG
Molecule: ribosomal RNA, 932 nt
Filed under: uncultured bacterium
Lineage: Bacteria
Description: bacterial SSU rRNA
Rfam family: Bacterial small subunit ribosomal RNA
Source: RNAcentral